AUCACUUCUUGGCCUUUUGGCUAAGAUCAAGUGUAGUAUCUGUUCUUAUCAGUUUAAUAUCUGAUACGUCCUCUAUCUGAUGUAUUAAACAGAUUUUUGGAAUUAGGAGAUGGAAUAGGGGCUUGCUCCAUCCAGUCCACGUAUCAACCUGUUAUUGCAGUACCUCCAGGAAUGGUGCACCCCUU
RNAcentral lists this small nuclear RNA (185 nucleotides) under Dasypus novemcinctus (nine-banded armadillo). RNAcentral's name for it is "U2 spliceosomal RNA (ENSDNOG00000028483.1)". It matches the Rfam family "U2 spliceosomal RNA". Rfam says of the family: U2 is a small nuclear RNA (snRNA) component of the spliceosome (involved in pre-mRNA splicing). Complementary binding between U2 snRNA (in an area lying towards the 5' end but 3' to hairpin I) and the branchpoint sequence (BPS) of the intron results the bulging out of an unpaired adenosine, on the BPS, which initiates a nucleophilic attack at the intronic 5' splice site, thus starting the first of two transesterification reactions that mediate splicing. The record is from RNAcentral. Lineage: Eukaryota; Metazoa; Chordata; Mammalia; Cingulata; Dasypodidae.